Long non-coding RNA from Chlorocebus sabaeus (green monkey), 2220 nucleotides. RefSeq lists it as uncharacterized. NCBI's taxonomy places the organism in Eukaryota, Metazoa, Chordata, Mammalia, Primates, Cercopithecidae. The record is from RefSeq and is a predicted model, not a curated record.
GUGGGGGGGAGCAGUCAUCUUGCAUAGGAUGUCGGCAAUCUCAGAAACCUCUGGGAGUCUGCUUUUCAUGUAGCAAACAACCUAGUAAGAAAAACUAGCUUUGGAGCCAGCCCUGGCUGGAAAAAAAUGAAGUUAAAUGAAACUCUCUCCGCAACGUUGGGCUAAAACCUUUUGCUGUUUCUUGCUGAGCCUACCUGGCUGAUGCCAUCGGUGAAAGACAAAUCAGAACAGAUGAAGAAUGUGACUUUCAGGGGAUAAAUUAGCACCAGAAGCCUGGAAGGAACUCCCCGCCAGCAGGAGGCGGCCAGCUCUAGCUUCCUGGGGCUUUGAAAAAGGCCUGGCUCAGUCCCGAGGCUGUGACAUGGUGGAGGAAAUGCUGGACUAAGAACCAGACACCUGGCUUUGAGAACCCAGGUCUGCUGUGAACUCACUGAAUCUAUUCUCCUGUCUGUAAAAUGGGGAUGAUAGUAGAGAUAUUCUGGAAUUAAAUGAAAAUGACCGGCUAUGUUACUCAUGUUCUCGAUAGAAGGGAAAAAGAAAAACUCUUCAUUCAAGAGAAGUCAUGAUUUUAAAGUAUAUUCUACGAACGCUUCACUGUCAAGGACUCUGUGGAGGAGGGAAUGGAGGACAGUGUUUUUAGAAGCUGUGACCUCUGGGCAAGCCUCACUUUAAACAGUGAAAGUGUCGCUUAAAAGUUGGCUGCAAGUCAGAUUUUUGUCCACUAAACCCUGCUUCAAGUGCCCAGUGGAAACUUGCUCCAUAAAAUAAUUACAUGGUGAAAGUUUUAUGGAGGAUGGUUUUUAUUCAAAGUCACCCCCUAAAUCAACUGACUUGUAAAUGAUGUGUUCUGUAACUACAAAAUGAAGACCCCGAGAAGCUUCAGGGACCUCAAAGAUGCUGGAUUCAAUACCUGCAUAUUACAGACAGAGAAACUGAGGUACGGAGAGGACACACAGAGGCCACCACCCUGCAUGAGAUGAGCCCCAUGGCAGAAACUUGGUUACAAUGACUAAUGUAAUCGAUCAGGCUAAGUCACUCCCUACAUUUCACUUUCAAAUGUUUCAAAUCAUGAAGAUUGCUUGACUAGCUGUUGGCUUUGUGGUAUGAAGACACAGCCAAAGAAAGGGUGAGCAGUCUUUUUCUUUUGACUUGGUAAAGCUAGGAAGGCAAAUGAAUGAGGGAAAGAAAUCAUAUCCAUAUUAUUCACUUUGCAGCUGUAUUUAUCUGGCAGUUCAGUUUGUCAGUUCAAGGGGGAAAAGGACCAUUGGGGAGGGGAGGGGAGGAGAAACUCUAAGGACAAAUUACAAUGGGCAUUCUGAAAAGACAGUAACUUUUUAUUUUUCUAUGGCAUUUAAGACCCAGACUUGAAUUCUUUAUUCAAUUAAAAACACCCACUAAGGUCAGGCAAAAUUUAACCAUGUAAUGCAGGAUGCUGGUGGCCUUUUUGGGAGCAGAAACCACUUCCUGGCUCCAGAACUGGAUCUGAGGAGAGACUCAGGGAGAUGAGGGCAGGUUGCUGCAUUGAACCUCUCAUCUUCAGUCUUGAGAGGACUGAAGGGGGGCUCCAUUGCUGAUAAAGCUUCCCAUCCUACUGCUCCAGGAAGCCCCAGGGAGCACAGAGAUGAUGUGGGAAGCAGGAGGUGGAAGCUUAGGGGUUUCCACCAUCUUGGAGGCCUUCAGAUAAGGUGUAACCACCCACCUGUGGAUCACAAUAGGGACCCUGGGGAGAGGGGCUUGUAAAGGAUUAAAGCAGAGUUGGAAGGAGGCCCAGGGAAGCCAGGAGGCCGAGCUGAGGCAGGCUCAAUGCCCAGUCUGAGCUGUAGAGGAGUAGCUGAGCUCUGCACUUUGCCAGCCAUAUGACCAUGGACCGAUUUACCCUGCCUAAGUCACAAUUUUCUCCUGUGUAAAACGAGGAUAAUAAUAGUAUGUAUCACAUAGAGUUGUUGAGAAAAUGAAAUAUGAUAAUGUAUCUAAAAGUGCUUCUUGUGCAGUCUGAUAUGUGUGAAAGAUUUAUUAUCAUCACCACCAUCAUUCUCAUCAUGGUUGCAAUAGGACUUGCAUUCUGAACAUGUGACUCCUGGGACCUGGGAAGCAAAGCUCUCAAAUAAAAAUGAGGUUAGCUGAAGCGUAGAUUCACUCUGGGAAGCAGACACUUCUGAGCAGAAUGACACACUGUGGCCUUGUCAAGGCUUCUGCCAUGGGAAGGAACUAAGUUGCCUC